AUGGGUGAGCUCUGGACCGAGGCGGCGUCCGCCCGGUGUGAUCUCAGAAGCAGCUUCGUGCCUGCGUCCCGAGGAGCCUGGGGAGCCGGGUCCCUCUCCCAGGCCCCUUCUCUGUGCGCGCUGCAGCGUCAGACCCGCGGCCGCUCAGUCCCCUUUGCCUGCUUCGGAAGCAGCAAAUCUCUGGAUCGCGGCCCUAGACGCUCCUGGGAACGUAGAGUCCAGGGCCAAAACGCGCAGAUUGGGAAGAAAAGGAAAGCAGAGCGGCUCCCCGCGGCCGCGGGGGCGUGGGAUGGCUGCGCCUCGGGCCGCAUUCCCGGAGGGCGCGCAGGCCUCUCCCUCCUCCUUUCUCUCCCCCUCCCCCUCAAUGUCUCCUUUCCCUUUAUUUGUCUCUAUUUGCCCCGUCUCUCUUUCUCUUUCAUCUUUGCAUCUCCACCUCCAUCUCCCUUCCUGCUCCCCAGCGUUCCUGGGGAGCUCCUAGCCCCGCAUCGCGGCCGGCUAGUUGUGGCCGGACUUUGGCCGAGAGAGCGCCGUCCGCUUCCCUCCGGGGCCGAGGUCCCCACACCCCCGGCCCGCCAGUGCGCCCCAGGCUCGGCUUGGCACAGCACCCCGCGCGCCCUGGGGAGAGCGGCCCAGAGAGCGGCGGGCUGCAGGGUCCCCCGUGGUGGCUCGUUCCCCGGGGGCAGGGUAGGCGGCGGGGGUGGGGUCGACAGUGGCCUUGGGCGCACCCCCCGUCGUCCCCGCGGCAGGUGGCGGGGCGUGCGCUGGGACUGUUCGCCCGAGCCGGGUCGGACGCGGCGGCGGGCAGUGGAGGCCCGGGCCCUCGGGCGAUGCCGGCCCCCAAGUCUGCGGCCCCGGCCCCCAAGUCCCCACUCCCCCAGCGCCGCGCCGCCGCGUCCAGGGCUCUCCCUGCGGGAACCCGGACACCCCGGCUUCCCUGUCCUUUCCUCGCAUUUUCUAUCGAUCAGUGUAACUCCUGUGAUGCCUUUGGAAUGUUUCCUUUUCAUUUCCCUCCGCGUGAUUUUGUCUGUUGCCACGUUCUGUUCCUUUCACGUGCAUUUAUUUUGUUCCUCUUUUUCUUAUGCUUCCGAAUCUCUUUUCUUUGCUCACUUCUAG
This 1113-nucleotide long non-coding RNA is filed under the name Oryctolagus cuniculus (rabbit). Its description in RNAcentral is "lncRNA (ENSOCUG00000036341.1)". Lineage: Eukaryota; Metazoa; Chordata; Mammalia; Lagomorpha; Leporidae. The record is from RNAcentral.